AUCUAAAUAGCUUAUGGAGAGCAUAGUAUUGAAGAUACUAAGGAAAUUUUAUAUUUUUAGAUA
RNAcentral lists this transfer RNA (63 nucleotides) under Brachytemnus porcatus. RNAcentral's name for it is "tRNA-Phe". The record is from RNAcentral. Lineage: Eukaryota; Metazoa; Arthropoda; Insecta; Coleoptera; Curculionidae.